GAUGAACGCUGGCGGCGUGCCUAAUACAUGCAAGUCGAGCGAACAGAUAAGGAGCUUGCUCCUUUGAAGUUAGCGGCGGACGGGUGAGUAACGCGUGGGUAACCUACCUAUAAGACUGGGAUAACUUCGGGAAACCGGAGCUAAUACCGGAUAACAUUUAGAACCGCAUGGUUCUAAAGUGAAAGAUGGUUUUGCUAUCACUUAUAGAUGGACCCGCGCCGUAUUAGCUAGUUGGUAAGGUAACGGCUUACCAAGGCGACGAUACGUAGCCGACCUGAGAGGGUGAUCGGCCACACUGGAACUGAGACACGGUCCAGACUCCUACGGGAGGCAGCAGUAGGGAAUCUUCCGCAAUGGGCGAAAGCCUGACGGAGCAACGCCGCGUGAGUGAUGAAGGGUUUCGGCUCGUAAAACUCUGUUAUUAGGGAAGAACAAAUGUGUAAGUAACUGUGCACAUCUUGACGGUACCUAAUCAGAAAGCCACGGCUAACUACGUGCCAGCAGCCGCGGUAAUACGUAGGUGGCAAGCGUUAUCCGGAAUUAUUGGGCGUAAAGCGCGCGUAGGCGGUUUCUUAAGUCUGAUGUGAAAGCCCACGGCUCAACCGUGAGGGUCAUUGGAAACUGGGAAACUUGAGUGCAGAAGAGGAAAGUGGAAUUCCAUGUGUAGCGGUGAAAUGCGCAGAGAUAUGGAGGAACACCAGUGGCGAAGGCGACUUUCUGGUCUGUAACUGACGCUGAUGUGCGAAAGCGUGGGGAUCAAACAGGAUUAGAUACCCUGGUAGUCCACGCCGUAAACGAUGAGUGCUAAGUGUUAGGGGGUUUCCGCCCCUUAGUGCUGCAGCUAACGCAUUAAGCACUCCGCCUGGGGAGUACGACCGCAAGGUUGAAACUCAAAGGAAUUGACGGGGACCCGCACAAGCGGUGGAGCAUGUGGUUUAAUUCGAAGCAACGCGAAGAACCUUACCAAAUCUUGACAUCCUUUGAAAACUCUAGAGAUAGAGCCUUCCCCUUCGGGGGACAAAGUGACAGGUGGUGCAUGGUUGUCGUCAGCUCGUGUCGUGAGAUGUUGGGUUAAGUCCCGCAACGAGCGCAACCCUUAAGCUUAGUUGCCAUCAUUAAGUUGGGCACUCUAGGUUGACUGCCGGUGACAAACCGGAGGAAGGUGGGGAUGACGUCAAAUCAUCAUGCCCCUUAUGAUUUGGGCUACACACGUGCUACAAUGGACAAUACAAAGGGCAGCUAAACCGCGAGGUCAUGCAAAUCCCAUAAAGUUGUUCUCAGUUCGGAUUGUAGUCUGCAACUCGACUACAUGAAGCUGGAAUCGCUAGUAAUCGUAGAUCAGCAUGCUACGGUGAAUACGUUCCCGGGUCU
RNAcentral lists this ribosomal RNA (1371 nucleotides) under uncultured bacterium. Its description in RNAcentral is "bacterial SSU rRNA". It matches the Rfam family "Bacterial small subunit ribosomal RNA", at positions 28 to 1381 of the family's 1533-position model. The record is from RNAcentral.